UACGUAGGGUGCAAGCGUUGUCCGGAAUUAUUGGGCGUAAAGAGCUCGUAGGCGGUUUGUCGUCGUCUGCUGUGAAAACGCGAGGCUCAACCUCGACGCCUGCAGUGGGUACGGGGCAGACUAGGAGUGCGGUAGGGGAGAUUGGAAUUCCUGGUGUAGACGGUGGAAUGCGCAGAUAUCAGGAGGAACACCGAGUGGCGAAGGCAGAUCUCUGGGCCGUAACUGACGCUGAGGCACGAAAGCGUGGGUAGCAAACAGG
RNAcentral lists this ribosomal RNA (259 nucleotides) under uncultured bacterium. RNAcentral's name for it is "partial 16S ribosomal RNA". It matches the Rfam family "Bacterial small subunit ribosomal RNA", at positions 524 to 776 of the family's 1533-position model. The record is from RNAcentral.